This 769-nucleotide ribosomal RNA is filed under the name Cryphoeca sp. 1 JCS-2006. RNAcentral describes it as "SSU rRNA". It matches the Rfam family "Eukaryotic small subunit ribosomal RNA", at positions 986 to 1773 of the family's 1831-position model. Lineage: Eukaryota; Metazoa; Arthropoda; Arachnida; Araneae; Hahniidae. The record is from RNAcentral.
AAAGUUAGAGGUUCGAAGGCGAUCAGAUACCGCCCUAGUUCUAACCAUAAACGAUGCCAGCCAGCGAUCCGGCUGUGUUCCUCAAAUGACACGCCGGGCAGCUUCCGGGAAACCAAAGCUUUUGGGUUCCGGGGGAAGUAUGGUUGCAAAGCUGAAACUUAAAGGAAUUGACGGAAGGGCACCACCAGAGGUGGAGCUUGCGGCUUAAUUUGACUCAACACGGGAAAACCUACCCGGCCCGGACACAGGAAGGAUUGACAGAUUAAGAGCUCUUUCUUGAUUCUGUGGGUUGUGGUGCAUGGCCGUUCUUAGUCGGUGGUGCGAAUUGUCUGGUUAAUUCCGUUAACGGACGAGACUGUAGCCUACUAAAUAGACGUUCCGAUCAUCUCCGUCGGACGUUCUUCUUAGAGGGACAAGCGGCGUCUAGCCGCGCGAGACACAGCAAUAACAGGUCUGUAAUGCCCUCAGAUGCCCGGGGCCGCACGCGUGCUACAUUGAAGGAAACAGCGUGUGCUUUCCCUGUCCGACAGGACUGGGUAACCCGUUGAAUCUCCUUCGUGCUGGGGAUAGGGGCUUGUAAUUGUUCCCCUUGAACGAGGAACCCCCAGUAAGCGCGAGUCAUUAGCUCGUGCUGAUUAAGUCCCUGCCCUUUGUCCACACCGCCCGUCGCUACAACCGAUUGAAUAAUUUUGUGAGGUCUUCGGACUGGCGCUCGGAGCGGCCUUCGGGUCGCGCCGGCGUGCCGGAAAGAUGACCAAACAUGACUAUU